Molecule: ribosomal RNA, 445 nt
Filed under: uncultured bacterium
Lineage: Bacteria
Description: partial 16S ribosomal RNA
Rfam family: Bacterial small subunit ribosomal RNA
Source: RNAcentral
GUAAGGAAUAUUGGACAAUGGACGCAAGUCUGAUCCAGCCAUGCCGCGUGAAGGAUUAAGGUCCUCUGGAUUGUAAACUUCUUUUAUAAGGGACGAAAAAAGGCUUUUCUAAGUCGUCUGACGGUACCUUAUGAAUAAGCACCGGCUAACUCCGUGCCAGCAGCCGCGGUAAUACGGAGGGUGCAAGCGUUAUCCGGAUUCACUGGGUUUAAAGGGUGCGUAGGCGGGCAGGUAAGUCAGUGGUGAAAUCCUAGAGCUUAACUCUAGAACUGCCAGUGAUACUAUCUGUCUUGAAUAUUGUGGAGGUAAGCGGAAUAUGUCAUGUAGCGGUGAAAUGCUUAGAUAUGACAUAGAACACCUAUUGCGAAGGCAGCUUACUACGCAUAUAUUGACGCUGAGGCACGAAAGCGUGGGGAUCAAACAGGAUUAGAUACCCCAGUAGUCC